This is a long non-coding RNA of Mobula hypostoma (lesser devil ray), 534 nucleotides long. RefSeq lists it as uncharacterized. The transcript is spliced from 3 exons. NCBI's taxonomy places the organism in Eukaryota, Metazoa, Chordata, Chondrichthyes, Myliobatiformes, Myliobatidae. The record is from RefSeq and is a predicted model, not a curated record.
GCCCCCUUUCCACCCUCCACAUCUGCUAAAUGCAACAAGGUCAAACAAGCUCCUGCCUACAAUAUUUCCUUACUGGUGAAACUUAGGAGACUACUAGACAGGAAGUUACAGGUAGGUAGCAGCUAUCAGUGGAGGAGCGAAGGAGAAGAAACAGGCAGGGAAUACCAAAAAAAAGCAGAGAGAGAAAACAUAUAGAGAGCCAGAGUUAAAGGAGGAAUACCCGAGAAAACCAUAUCUAACAAUUACAGCACGGAAACAGGCCAUCUCGGCCCUUCUCGUCCGUGCCGAAAGGAAAAGCAAUGAUGGAUGAAGAGAGGAGAGGAUGGGAAGAUAAAAACUAUCAGUGAUUUGAAUGAAAGGGAAAAGAGGAGUAAGAGAAAGGCGUGGAAAUGUAGACAGCAAGAGUGAAGAGAGCGUAAGAGAAAGGGCCCAGAACGCCCAGAAACUGCCCCAGAUAGUCCAUUGGACCAGACUGUACAGGAGCCAGCUCGCAGUAGGCAGUCUAUAGCAGGGGAAAGGGAAAGAAAGAAAACA